GAGGAUAUAGCUCAGAGGUAGAGCGCAUGCUUAGCAUGCACAAGGUCCCGGAUUCAAUCCCCAGUUCCUUCA
Molecule: transfer RNA, 72 nt
Filed under: Camelus bactrianus (Bactrian camel)
Lineage: Eukaryota; Metazoa; Chordata; Mammalia; Artiodactyla; Camelidae
Also listed under: 1 other name
Rfam family: tRNA
About the family: Transfer RNA (tRNA) molecules are approximately 80 nucleotides in length. Their secondary structure includes four short double-helical elements and three loops (D, anti-codon, and T loops). Further hydrogen bonds mediate the characteristic L-shaped molecular structure. tRNAs have two regions of fundamental functional importance: the anti-codon, which is responsible for specific mRNA codon recognition, and the 3' end, to which the tRNAs corresponding amino acid is attached (by aminoacyl-tRNA synthetases). tRNAs cope with the degeneracy of the genetic code in two manners: having more than one tRNA (with a specific anti-codon) for a particular amino acid; and 'wobble' base-pairing, i.e. permitting non-standard base-pairing at the 3rd anti-codon position.
Source: Rfam by way of RNAcentral